CACGUAGGGGGCGAGCGUUGUUCGGAUUUACUGGGCGUAAAGGGCACGUAGGCGGUUCUGUAAGCCUGACGUGAAAGGCUAUGGCUCAACCAUGGCACUGCGUUGGGAACUGCGGGACUUGAAUCAUGGAGAGGGAGCUGGAAUUCCAGGUGUAGGGGUGAAAUCUGUAGAUAUCUGGAAGAACACCAAUGGCGAAGGCAAGCUCCUGGCCACUGAUUGACGCUGAGGUGCGAAAGUGUGGGGAUCAAACAGG
RNAcentral lists this ribosomal RNA (253 nucleotides) under uncultured bacterium. Its description in RNAcentral is "partial 16S ribosomal RNA". It matches the Rfam family "Bacterial small subunit ribosomal RNA", at positions 524 to 776 of the family's 1533-position model. The record is from RNAcentral.